This 471-nucleotide ribosomal RNA is filed under the name uncultured bacterium. Its description in RNAcentral is "bacterial SSU rRNA". It matches the Rfam family "Bacterial small subunit ribosomal RNA", at positions 355 to 825 of the family's 1533-position model. The record is from RNAcentral.
UGGGGAAUUGUUCGCAAUGGGCGCAAGCCUGACGACGCAACGCCGCGUGGAGGAUGAAGGUCUUCGGAUCGUAAACUCCUGUUGCCCGGGACGAAUGGCUUCGACCUAAUACGUCGGAGUAUGACGGUACCGGGUGAGGAAGCCCCGGCUAACUCUGUGCCAGCAGCCGCGGUAAUACAGAGGGGGCAAGCGUUGUUCGGAAUUACUGGGCGUAAAGGGCGCGUAGGCGGCCUGUUAAGUCGAACGUGAAAUCCCUGGGCUCAACCCAGGAACUGCGUCCGAUACUGGCUGGCUUGAAUCCGGGAGAGGGAUGCGGAAUUCCAGGUGUAGCGGUGAAAUGCGUAGAUAUCUGGAGGAACACCGGUGGCGAAGGCGGCAUCCUGGACCGGUAUUGACGCUGAGGCGCGAAAGCCAGGGGAGCAAACGGGAUUAGAUACCCAAGUAGUCCCUGAGCGGGCUGGCAAGGCGCAU